RNAcentral lists this long non-coding RNA (230 nucleotides) under Mytilus galloprovincialis (Mediterranean mussel). Lineage: Eukaryota; Metazoa; Mollusca; Bivalvia; Mytilida; Mytilidae. The record is from RNAcentral.
CAUCUGCAUCAGACAACAGAUCGAUUUUACUAAUAUUCCAAACAGGCUGAGAAAACUGAGAAAAUUUACGGUGUAAGAAACCAAUAGUGUAAUAAUUUUUGGUUUGAUUUAGAAUUAUUAGAAAGAUACGAUCUUUUAUUGCCAACACAUCCAGAAAUUAUUUUCUAACAGUCUAAGGCACCUAUACAAAUCCGGGCCAUUCGCACAGACACUUGUGUAUGUCUAUCCCA